RNAcentral lists this unclassified non-coding RNA (202 nucleotides) under uncultured fungus. RNAcentral's name for it is "sequence contains ITS1, 5.8S rRNA gene". The record is from RNAcentral. Lineage: Eukaryota; Fungi. RNAcentral also lists the same sequence under 1 other name.
ACGUAUCUCUGACGGGGCGGGUCGGCCCUGCUCGGGUCCGCGAGGGCCUUUGAAGCGGGUUGCCCGUCACGCUCAACCUCACAAACCCCACUGUGCACAUUCACGGCGGAGGGCGGCGGCGAGAGCCACUGCCCGAAGCCGCAUACCUAAACUCGAGUUCAAAAGAAUGAUCAGUGGCCUCUGUGCCGCCUAACAAACAUAA